Molecule: ribosomal RNA, 492 nt
Filed under: uncultured bacterium
Lineage: Bacteria
Description: partial 16S ribosomal RNA
Rfam family: Bacterial small subunit ribosomal RNA
Source: RNAcentral
GAUGAACGCUAGCUCCAGGCUUAACACAUGCAAGUCGAGGGGAAACGGCAUUAAGUGCUUGCACUUUUUGGACGUCGACCGGCGCACGGGUGAGUAACGCGUAUCCAACCUUCCCAUGACUAAGGGAUAACCUGCCGAAAGGCAGACUAAUACCUUAUGGUCUUCACUGACGGCAUCAGAUGUGAAGUAAAGAUUUAUCGGUUAUGGAUGGGGAUGCGUCUGAUUAGCUUGUUGGCGGGGUAACGGCCCACCAAGGCAACGAUCAGUAGGGGUUCUGAGAGGAAGGUCCCCCACAUUGGAACUGAGACACGGUCCAAACUCCUACGGGAGGCAGCAGUGAGGAAUAUUGGUCAAUGGGCGAGAGCCUGAACCAGCCAAGUAGCGUGCAGGAUGACGGCCCUAUGGGUUGUAAACUGCUUUUGUAUGGGGAUAAAGUCAAUCACGUGUGAUUGUUUGCAGGUACCAUACGAAUAAGGACCGGCUAAUUCCGUG